Molecule: long non-coding RNA, 354 nt
Filed under: Mus pahari (shrew mouse)
Lineage: Eukaryota; Metazoa; Chordata; Mammalia; Rodentia; Muridae
Description: lncRNA (MGP_PahariEiJ_G0012561.1)
Source: RNAcentral
AGAUGAUUUUCACACUCUAGUUUGAUCAUGAGCCCCAUAAUAAGCUGCUUCAGAUUGUAAUAUAGACACAGUAAUGUAUGCCUCCAGGCUGAUUCACACCUUCCUCGUUAGUCUUGAGGUUUGAGAUUCCCUGUUUGUGUCUGCAGGAUUCAGAUAGUGUGAGUAUAGUCUGUGUUCUUGUGUUGGAAUUUUUCUAUCGCUUGCACAAAAACAGGGUAGAAAGAUUUCUGGGGCUGGCGAGAUGGCUCAGAGGUUGAGAGCACUGACUGCUCUUCCUGAUGUCCUGAGCUCGAUUCCCAGCAACCCCAUGGUGGCUCACAACCAUCUGUAAGGGAUCUGAUACCCUCUUCUGGU